AACGGCUCACCAAGGCGACGAAUACAUAGCCGACCUGAGAGGGUGAUCGGCCACACUGGGACUGAGACACGGCCCAGACUCCUACGGGAGGCAGCAGUAGGGAAUCUUCGGCAAUGGACGGAAGUCUGACCGAGCAACGCCGCGUGAGUGAAGAAGGUUUUCGGAUCGUAAAGCUCUGUUGUAAGAGAAGAACGAGUGUGAGAGUGGAAAGUUCACACUGUGACGGUAUCUUACCAGAAAGGGACGGCUAACUACGUGCCAGCAGCCGCGGUAAUACGUAGGUCCCGAGCGUUGUCCGGAUUUAUUGGGCGUAAAGCGAGCGCAGGCGGUUAGAUAAGUCUGAAGUUAAAGGCUGUGGCUUAACCAUAGUACCGCUUUGGAAACUGUUUAACUUGAGUGCAAGAAGGGGAGAGUGGAAUUCCAUGUGUUAGCGGUGAAAUGCGUAGAUAUUAUGGAGGAACACCCGGUGGGCGAAAGCGGCUCUCUGGGCUUGUAACUGACGCUUAAAGCUCGAAAGCGUGGGGGAGCAAACCAGGAUUAGAUACCCCUGGUAGUCCACGCCCGUAAACGAUGAGUGCUUAGGUGUUAGACCCCUUUCCGGGGGUUUAGUGCCGUAGCCUAACGCAUUAAGCACUCCCCCCUGGGGGAGUACGACCCGCAAGGUUGAAAACUCAAAGGAAAUUGACGGGGGGCCCGCACCAAGCGGUGGAGCCAUGUGGGUUUAAUUCGAAACCAACGCGAAAAAACCUUACCAGGUCUUUGACAUCCCUCU
This 772-nucleotide ribosomal RNA is filed under the name Streptococcus pseudopneumoniae. RNAcentral describes it as "bacterial SSU rRNA". It matches the Rfam family "Bacterial small subunit ribosomal RNA", at positions 259 to 993 of the family's 1533-position model. The record is from RNAcentral. Lineage: Bacteria; Bacillati; Bacillota; Bacilli; Lactobacillales; Streptococcaceae.